CUCGGGGUGGGGGGGUUCCCCUUGGUCCAGAUUGCAAGAAGGUGCAGACCAGGCCAAGGAACCCCACCGGUGCAUG
Molecule: non-coding RNA, 76 nt
Organism: Myotis lucifugus (little brown bat)
Lineage: Eukaryota; Metazoa; Chordata; Mammalia; Chiroptera; Vespertilionidae
Source: Rfam